RNAcentral lists this ribosomal RNA (366 nucleotides) under uncultured bacterium. RNAcentral's name for it is "partial 16S ribosomal RNA". It matches the Rfam family "Bacterial small subunit ribosomal RNA", at positions 355 to 733 of the family's 1533-position model. The record is from RNAcentral.
UGGGGAAUAUUGCACAAUGGGCGAAAGCCUGAUGCAGCGACGCCGCGUGCGGGAUGAAGGCCUUCGGGUUGUAAACCGCUUUUGAUUGGGAGCAAGCGAGAGUGAGUGUACCUUUCGAAUAAGCACCGGCUAACUACGUGCCAGCAGCCGCGGUAAUACGUAGGGUGCAAGCGUUAUCCGGAAUUAUUGGGCGUAAAGAGCUCGUAGGCGGUUUGUCGCGUCUGGUGUGAAAGUCCAUCGCUUAACGGUGGAUCUGCGCCGGGUACGGGCAGGCUAGAGUGCGACAGGGGAGACUGGAAUUCCCGGUGUAACGGUGGAAUGUGUAGAUAUCGGGAAGAACACCAAUGGCGAAGGCAGGUCUCUGGG